Myotis brandtii (Brandt's bat) is the source of this 76-nucleotide non-coding RNA. The record is from Rfam. Lineage: Eukaryota; Metazoa; Chordata; Mammalia; Chiroptera; Vespertilionidae.
GGCGGUUCUCGGGUGAUGCACUCCGGAAUUGGGCUCCCUCCUCUCUAAUUCUGGGGUGCGUCACCCAAGAACUGCC